Molecule: ribosomal RNA, 441 nt
Filed under: uncultured bacterium
Lineage: Bacteria
Description: bacterial SSU rRNA
Rfam family: Bacterial small subunit ribosomal RNA
Source: RNAcentral
GACGAACGCUGGCGGCGCGCUUAAUACAUGCAAGUCGAACGAGAACCCCGGGCUUCGGCCUGGGGGAGAGUGGCGAACGGGUGCGUAACACGUGAGCAACCUGCCCCGGAGACCGGGAUAACUCGAGGAAACUCGGGCUAAUACCGGAUGUCCUCACCGGACCGCAUGAUCCGGUCAGGAAAUGGUCUGCCGCUCCGGGAUGGGCUCGCGGCCUAUCAGCUUGUUGGUGAGGUAACGGCUCACCAAGGCGACGACGGGUAGCUGGUCUGAGAGGACGAUCAGCCACACUGGGACUGAGACACGGCCCAGACUCCUACGGGAGGCAGCAGUAGGGAAUCUUGCGCAAUGGGGGCAACCCUGACGCAGCGACGCCGCGUGCGGGAUGAAGGCCUUCGGGUUGUAAACCGCUUUCAGCAGGGACGAAAUUGACGGUACCUGCAG